This 437-nucleotide ribosomal RNA is filed under the name uncultured bacterium. RNAcentral describes it as "partial 16S ribosomal RNA". It matches the Rfam family "Bacterial small subunit ribosomal RNA", at positions 29 to 507 of the family's 1533-position model. The record is from RNAcentral.
AGCGAACGCUGGCGGCAGGCUUAACACAUGCAAGUCGAGCGGGCAUCCUUGUGGCGUCCGCGGCAGACGGGUGAGUAACGCGUGGGAACGUGCCCUUCGGUUCGGAAUAACUCAGGGAAACUUGAGCUAAUACCGGAUACGUGCGAGAGCAGAAAGGUUUAUCUGCCGAAGGAUCGGCCCGCGUCUGAUUAGCUAGUUGGUGAGGUUACGGCUCACCAAGGCGACGAUCAGUAGCUGGUCUGAGAGGAUGAUCAGCCACACUGGGACUGAGACACGGCCCAGACUCCUACGGGAGGCAGCAGUGGGGAAUAUUGGACAAUGGGGGCAACCCUGAUCCAGCCAUGCCGCGUGAGUGAUGACGGCCUUAGGGUUGUAAAGCUCCUUUCUCCGGGACGAUAAUGACGGUACCGGAGGAAUAAGCCCCGGCUAACUUCGUG